Molecule: ribosomal RNA, 397 nt
Filed under: uncultured bacterium
Lineage: Bacteria
Description: partial 16S ribosomal RNA
Rfam family: Bacterial small subunit ribosomal RNA
Source: RNAcentral
AUACGUAGGGGGCGAGCGUUGUCCGGAAUGAUUGGGCGUAAAGGGCGCGUAGGCGGCCCGGUAAGUCUGGAGUGAAAGUCCUGUUUUUAAGAUGGGAAUUGCUUUGGAUACUGUCGGGCUUGAGUGCAGGGGAGGUAAGUGGAAUUCCCAGUGUAGCGGUGAAAUGCGUAGAGAUUGGGAGGAACACCAGUGGCGAAGGCGACUUACUGGACUGUAACUGACGCUGAGGCGCGAAAGUGUGGGGAGCAAACAGGAUUAGAUACCCUGGUAGUCCACACUGUAAACGAUGAAUGCUAGGUGUAGGGGGUAUCGACCCCUUCUGUGCCGCAGUCAACACAAUAAGUAUUCCGCCUGGGGAGUACGGCCGCAAGGUUGAAACUCAAAGGAAUUGACGGGG